AAUCUCAUUUAUAUAAUUCAUUCAAUAGUGACAAAAUCCAUACAUCAAAAAUUUAAUUCAAGUACUUGAAGUUCCAAACGAAAGAAACUAAUGUAGUUCAAACAUUCAAAAAUUAAAAUAUAAAUAUUAGUAGAGUGGUUAAACAUAACAGCACGUCAAAAUAAGUUCAAAAAAUAUCUAAAUAUCCCUAGUAUGUGAUGUUGCUUCAUAAUCCUUAAUUAGUGUGCACUAGACUCAGAAACGCCUAUCAUCGCUUGACUCUUCUUAUUCGGUUACCUGGAAAAACAUAAGUAUAUAUUAGGAUACUUAAAAAAGCGAACUGAAUUGUACAAAUUGACUUGGUCCAUGACAUAAUUCCACAAGAUAAUGGUAUUUAACAUAAUGCAUCUCUUUUCUAAGCAGAUCAAAUAAAUGAACUCAUAACAGAACAAAUUCUUUUUUAAAAGCCAAUGAAUAAUUUAUUAAUGAAAGAGAGAGACAAGAUAUACCAAAGAGUUACAAUACAACACUUAAAAUCAUACAAACACAUGAUUACAAUGCCAAAGUGACUCAAUCAUUAACAACCCCAGAGUUAUAGCAACCCACAAAAGAUAACAAAUAAGAGCAACAAAAUUAAGCCCCAUCAAAACAACUCCCAGGCCUAAGACAUGAUUAUAAAGCUAACCUAAAUGGUAGAGACAAGCUGCAAUCAAUUAACUCCCAUGCCUCUUUUCAAAUUGCAAAUUUUUUUUGUAAGCACAGUAGUGUGUCAUACCAGAAUCUAUUCAAUCAAAUAUAAAUAGAAAUGACGAUGAACUGAACAUAAGAGGAGAUAAAAGAGGAGAGAGUUUUACCUCUAUGCUCGAACCAUGCUUGGAAAGUAAAGGACAUACUUGAAAAAAUCAGUAGGAUUUUACAAAGAACCAUCCAAGUUCAUAACUCCAGUAUGCAUAUUCUUUAGCCUGCACAUUGGAGAAAAGGUUUAAUUGUCAUAGAGAAUAAAUUCAUCAACAAUAUUACUACACAUGGCUUGGAAUGAUGGGUGUCAUAGAGCAUAGUUACUGAAAUGUUGGAGAUGGGUGUGAUAUUAAGCCAUGGAAUGAUGCUUGGAUUGAAGAAGGUCUUUGUUUGCAGCAUGAAGUAGACAUUACUCAGCAUGAAGUAGACAUUCCCCCUCAUGUGGAUAAUGGAAGGGAUGAGAGAAUU
Molecule: long non-coding RNA, 1185 nt
Filed under: Trifolium pratense (red clover)
Lineage: Eukaryota; Viridiplantae; Streptophyta; Magnoliopsida; Fabales; Fabaceae
Description: long non-coding RNA (TPRA_LNC013378)
Source: RNAcentral